AGUGAACGCUGGCGGUAGGCCUAACACAUGCAAGUCGAACGGCAGCACAGUAAGAGCUUGCUCUUACGGGUGGCGAGUGGCGGACGGGUGAGGAAUACAUCGGAAUCUACUUUUUCGUGGGGGAUAACGUAGGGAAACUUACGCUAAUACCGCAUACGACCUACGGGUGAAAGCAGGGGAUCUUCGGACCUUGCGCGAUUGAAUGAGCCGAUGUCGGAUUAGCUAGUUGUCGGGGUAAAGGCCCACCAAGGCGACGAUCCGUAGCUGGUCUGAGAGGAUGGUCGGCCACACUGGAACGGAGACACGGUCCAGACUCCUACGGGAGGCAGCAGUGGGGAAUAUUGGGCAAUGGGCGCAAGCCUGAUCCAGCCAUACCGCGUGGGUGAAGAAGGCCUUCGGGUUGUAAAGCCCUUUUGUUGGGAAAGAAAAGCAGCAGGUUAAUACCCCGCUGUUCUGACGGUACCCAAAGAAUAAGCACCGGCUAACUUCGUG
Molecule: ribosomal RNA, 492 nt
Filed under: uncultured bacterium
Lineage: Bacteria
Description: partial 16S ribosomal RNA
Rfam family: Bacterial small subunit ribosomal RNA
Source: RNAcentral